This 354-nucleotide unclassified non-coding RNA is filed under the name uncultured Pichia. Its description in RNAcentral is "sequence contains ITS1". The stretch from base 1 to 105 matches the Rfam family "5.8S ribosomal RNA", at positions 50 to 154 of the family's 154-position model. Lineage: Eukaryota; Fungi; Ascomycota; Saccharomycetes; Saccharomycetales; Saccharomycetaceae. The record is from RNAcentral.
GAAAUGCGAUACUUAGUGUGAAUUGCAGAUUUUUCGGGAGUCAUCGAAACAUUGAAUGCACUGCGCCCCCGAGCACAACUCGGGGGCAUGCCUGGCCGAGUGUCGCUACACAAUUCAUCCCCACCCAGGUGCGGGGGUGGCUAUGGGCUUCACAGGAGGCGAGCUCGCCUGCAUUGCCUUAAAUUCCAAACUCGUCCGGCACCAGCAGACCCGGCCUUUCUGGGAGGAUAAACCAAGGAUGGUCCAGAAAGGUUGCAGCCAGUCCGCCGACUCCGAGGGCAUCUGCUGGUUGCUUAACCCCAUGACCAUCCACUUCAUCGACCUCGACUGGACAAGGCUACCCGCCGGACUUAA